GACGAACGCUGGCGGCGUGCCUAAUACAUGCCAGUUGAGCGCUGAAGGUUGGUACUUGUCCCAACUGGAUGAGCAGCGAACGGGUGAGUAACGCGUGGGGAAUCUGCCUUUGAGCGGGGGACAACAUUUGGAAACGAAUGCUAAUACCGCAUAAAAACUUUAAACACAAGUUUUAAGUUUGAAAGAUGCAAUUGCAUCACUCAAAGAUGAUCCCGCGUUGUAUUAGCUAGUUGGUGAGGUAAAGGCUCACCAAGGCGAUGAUACAUAGCCGACCUGAGAGGGUGAUCGGCCACAUUGGGACUGAGACACAGCCCAAACUCCUACGGGAGGCAGCAGUAGGGAAUCUUCGGCAAUGGACGAAAGUCUGACCGAGCAACGCCGCGUGAGUGAAGAAGGUUUUCGGAUCGUAAAACUCUGUUGGUAGAGAAGAAUGUUGGUGAGAGUGGAAAGCUCAUCAAGUGACGGUAACUACCCAGAAAGGGACGGCUAACUACGUG
Molecule: ribosomal RNA, 497 nt
Filed under: uncultured bacterium
Lineage: Bacteria
Description: partial 16S ribosomal RNA
Rfam family: Bacterial small subunit ribosomal RNA
Source: RNAcentral